RNAcentral lists this ribosomal RNA (1526 nucleotides) under Neisseria meningitidis 2001068. RNAcentral's name for it is "bacterial SSU rRNA". It matches the Rfam family "Bacterial small subunit ribosomal RNA". The record is from RNAcentral. Lineage: Bacteria; Pseudomonadati; Pseudomonadota; Betaproteobacteria; Neisseriales; Neisseriaceae.
GAGUUUGAUCCUGGCUCAGAUUGAACGCUGGCGGCAUGCUUUACACAUGCAAGUCGGACGGCAGCACAGAGAAGCUUGCUUCUUGGGUGGCGAGUGGCGAACGGGUGAGUAACAUAUCGGAACGUACCGAGUAGUGGGGGAUAACUGAUCGAAAGAUCAGCUAAUACCGCAUACGUCUUGAGAGGGAAAGCAGGGGACCUUCGGGCCUUGCGCUAUUCGAGCGGCCGAUAUCUGAUUAGCUAGUUGGUGGGGUAAAGGCCUACCAAGGCGACGAUCAGUAGCGGGUCUGAGAGGAUGAUCCGCCACACUGGGACUGAGACACGGCCCAGACUCCUACGGGAGGCAGCAGUGGGGAAUUUUGGACAAUGGGCGCAAGCCUGAUCCAGCCAUGCCGCGUGUCUGAAGAAGGCCUUCGGGUUGUAAAGGACUUUUGUCAGGGAAGAAAAGGCUGUUGCUAAUAUCAGCGGCUGAUGACGGUACCUGAAGAAUAAGCACCGGCUAACUACGUGCCAGCAGCCGCGGUAAUACGUAGGGUGCGAGCGUUAAUCGGAAUUACGGGCGUAAAGCGGGCGCAGACGGUUACUUAAGCAGGAUGUGAAAUCCCCGGGCUCAACCCGGGAACUGCGUUCUGAACUGGGUGACUCGAGUGUGUCAGAGGGAGGUAGAAUUCCACGUGUAGCAGUGAAAUGCGUAGAGAUGUGGAGGAAUACCGAUGGCGAAGGCAGCCUCCUGGGACAACACUGACGUUCAUGCCCGAAAGCGUGGGUAGCAAACAGGAUUAGAUACCCUGGUAGUCCACGCCCUAAACGAUGUCAAUUAGCUGUUGGGCAACUUGAUUGCUUAGUAGCGUAGCUAACGCGUGAAAUUGACCGCCUGGGGAGUACGGUCGCAAGAUUAAAACUCAAAGGAAUUGACGGGGACCCGCACAAGCGGUGGAUGAUGUGGAUUAAUUCGAUGCAACGCGAAGAACCUUACCUGGUCUUGACAUGUACGGAAUCCUCCAGAGACGGAGGAGUGCCUUCGGGAGCCGUAACACAGGUGCUGCAUGGCUGUCGUCAGCUCGUGUCGUGAGAUGUUGGGUUAAGUCCCGCAACGAGCGCAACCCUUGUCAUUAGUUGCCAUCAUUCAGUUGGGCACUCUAAUGAGACUGCCGGUGACAAGCCGGAGGAAGGUGGGGAUGACGUCAAGUCCUCAUGGCCCUUAUGACCAGGGCUUCACACGUCAUACAAUGGUCGGUACAGAGGGUAGCCAAGCCGCGAGGCGGAGCCAAUCUCACAAAACCGAUCGUAGUCCGGAUUGCACUCUGCAACUCGAGUGCAUGAAGUCGGAAUCGCUAGUAAUCGCAGGUCAGCAUACUGCGGUGAAUACGUUCCCGGGUCUUGUACACACCGCCCGUCACACCAUGGGAGUGGGGGAUACCAGAAGUAGGUAGGGUAACCGCAAGGAGUCCGCUUACCACGGUAUGCUUCAUGACUGGGGUGAAGUCGUAACAAGGUAGCCGUAGGGGAACCUGCGGCUGGAUCACC